Molecule: ribosomal RNA, 2906 nt
Filed under: Providencia stuartii
Lineage: Bacteria; Pseudomonadati; Pseudomonadota; Gammaproteobacteria; Enterobacterales; Morganellaceae
Description: 23S ribosomal RNA
Rfam family: Bacterial large subunit ribosomal RNA
Source: RNAcentral
GGUUAAGCGACUAAGCGUACACGGUGGAUGCCUAGGCAAUCAGAGGCGAUGAAGGACGUGCUAAUCUGCGAAAAGCGUCGGUAAGGUGAUAUGAACCGCUAUAGCCGACGAUGUCCGAAUGGGGAAACCCAGUGCAAUUCGUUGCACUAUCGUUUGAUGAAUCCAUAGUCAAACGAGGCGAACCGAGGGAACUGAAACAUCUCAGUACCUCGAGGAAAAGAAAUCAACCGAGAUUCCCCUAGUAGCGGCGAGCGAACGGGGAGCAGCCCAGAGUCUUAAUCAGCAUCAGCAUCAGGAGAACGGUCUGGAAAGUCCGGCAGUAAAGGGUGAUAGCCCCGUAUCCGAAGGUGUUGGUGUUGUGAACUCGACGAGUAGGGCGGGACACGUGUUAUCCUGUCUGAAUAUGGGGGGACCAUCCUCCAAGGCUAAAUACUCCUGAUUGACCGAUAGUGAACCAGUACCGUGAGGGAAAGGCGAAAAGAACCCCGGCGAGGGGAGUGAAAUAGAACCUGAAACCGUGUACGUACAAGCAGUGGGAGCACCUUUUAGGUGUGACUGCGUACCUUUUGUAUAAUGGGUCAGCGACUUAUAUUCUGUAGCAAGGUUAACCGUAUAGGGGAGCCGUAGGGAAACCGAGUCUUAACUGGGCGAAUAAGUUGCAGGGUAUAGACCCGAAACCCGGUGAUCUAGCCAUGGGCAGGUUGAAGGUUGGGUAACACUAACUGGAGGACCGAACCGACUAAUGUUGAAAAAUUAGCGGAUGACUUGUGGCUGGGGGUGAAAGGCCAAUCAAACCGGGAGAUAGCUGGUUCUCCCCGAAAGCUAUUUAGGUAGCGCCUCGUGAACUCAUCUUCGGGGGUAGAGCACUGUUUCGGCUAGGGGGUCAUCCCGACUUACCAACCCGAUGCAAACUACGAAUACCGAAGAAUGUUAUCACGGGAGACACACGGCGGGUGCUAACGUUCGUCGUGAAGAGGGAAACAACCCAGACCGCCAGCUAAGGUCCCAAAGUCAUGGUUAAGUGGGAAACGAAGUGGGAAGGCUCAGACAGCCAGGAUGUUGGCUUAGAAGCAGCCAUCAUUUAAAGAAAGCGUAAUAGCUCACUGGUCGAGUCGGCCUGCGCGGAAGAUGUAACGGGGCUAAACCAUGCACCGAAGCUGCGGCAGCGACAUGUAAAUGUUGUUGGGUAGGGGAGCGUUCUGUAAGCCUGUGAAGGUGUGCUGUGAGGCAUGCUGGAGGUAUCAGAAGUGCGAAUGCUGACAUAAGUAACGAUAAUGCGGGUGAAAAACCCGCACGCCGGAAGACCAAGGGUUCCUGUCCAACGUUAAUCGGGGCAGGGUGAGUCGACCCCUAAGGCGAGGCAGAAAUGCGUAGUCGAUGGGAAACAGGUUAAUAUUCCUGUACUGGUGAUAAUUGCGAUGGGGGGACGGAGAAGGCUAGGCUGGCCGGGCGACGGUUGUCCCGGUUUAAGGAUGUAGGCAGGUGAAUUAGGCAAAUCCGGUUCACUACAUGCUGAGGUCUGAUGACGAGUCACUACGGUGGCGAAGUAGCUCAUGCCCCGCUUCCAGGAAAAGCCUCUAAGCUCUAGAUUAUCAUUAAUCGUACCCCAAACCGACACAGGUGGUCAGGUAGAGAAUACUCAGGCGCUUGAGAGAACUCGGGUGAAGGAACUAGGCAAAAUGGUGCCGUAACUUCGGGAGAAGGCACGCUGGCGCUAGGUGAAGUCCCUCGCGGAUGGAGCUGAAGCCAGUCGCAGAUACCAGCUGGCUGCAACUGUUUAUUAAAAACACAGCACUGUGCAAACACGAAAGUGGACGUAUACGGUGUGACGCCUGCCCGGUGCUGGAAGGUUAAUUGAUGGGGUUAUCCGUAAGGAGAAGCUCUUGAUCGAAGCCCCAGUAAACGGCGGCCGUAACUAUAACGGUCCUAAGGUAGCGAAAUUCCUUGUCGGGUAAGUUCCGACCUGCACGAAUGGCGUAAUGAUGGCCAGGCUGUCUCCACCCGAGACUCAGUGAAAUUGAACUCGCUGUGAAGAUGCAGUGUACCCGCGGCAAGACGGAAAGACCCCGUGAACCUUUACUAUAGCUUGACACUGAACAUUGAGCCUUGAUGUGUAGGAUAGGUGGGAGGCUUUGAAGUGUGGACGCCAGUCUGCAUGGAGCCAACCUUGAAAUACCACCCUUUAAUGUUUGAUGUUCUAACGUGGCCCCAUAAUCUGGGGUGCGGACAGUGUCUGGUGGGUAGUUUGACUGGGGCGGUCUCCUCCCAAAGAGUAACGGAGGAGCACGAAGGUUGGCUAAGCAUGGUCGGACAUCAUGCGGUUAGUGCAAAGGCAUAAGCCAGCUUGACUGCGAGAGUGACGGCUCGAGCAGGUACGAAAGUAGGUCUUAGUGAUCCGGUGGUUCUGAAUGGAAGGGCCAUCGCUCAACGGAUAAAAGGUACUCCGGGGAUAACAGGCUGAUACCGCCCAAGAGUUCAUAUCGACGGCGGUGUUUGGCACCUCGAUGUCGGCUCAUCACAUCCUGGGGCUGAAGUAGGUCCCAAGGGUAUGGCUGUUCGCCAUUUAAAGUGGUACGCGAGCUGGGUUUAGAACGUCGUGAGACAGUUCGGUCCCUAUCUGCCGUGGGCGUUGGAAGAUUGAAAGGGGCUGCUCCUAGUACGAGAGGACCGGAGUGGACGCACCACUGGUGUUCGGGUUGUCAUGCCAAUGGCACUGCCCGGUAGCUAAGUGCGGAAGAGAUAACCGCUGAAAGCAUCUAAGCGGGAAACUUGCCUUGAGAUGAGUCUUCCCUGACUCUUUAAGGGUCCUAAAGGAACGUUUAAGACUAAGACGUUGAUAGGCUGGGUGUGUAAGCGUAGCGAUACGUUGAGCUAACCAGUACUAAUGAACCGUGAGGCUUAACCUG